GUAUACGGCCACACCACCCUGAACGCGCCCGAUCUCGGAAGCUAAGCAGGAUGGGGCUUCUUAGAACUCGCAUGGGAGACCGCCUGGGAAUACCGGGUGCCGUACCCU
RNAcentral lists this ribosomal RNA (108 nucleotides) under Pteropus alecto (black flying fox). The record is from RNAcentral. Lineage: Eukaryota; Metazoa; Chordata; Mammalia; Chiroptera; Pteropodidae.